Long non-coding RNA from Orussus abietinus, 643 nucleotides. RefSeq lists it as uncharacterized. The record is from RefSeq and is a predicted model, not a curated record. NCBI's taxonomy places the organism in Eukaryota, Metazoa, Arthropoda, Insecta, Hymenoptera, Orussidae. The transcript is spliced from 3 exons.
UCACGUUCGGGAGGGUCCGAGGGUGGUCGAGGGUGCACGUGGGAUGGCAGCCUUCGACUCAGCCGGGAUCAACCGGGCACCCAGCGGAGGUCGCGCGAUCAACAAGUACGGGACGUGUCCAGGACCUCUUGGGCGAUCGGCAGUGCUCCAAUUUCUGAUCCCCAUUUGGAUCCGGGGACCGCGCUAAAUCAUCGAACAGCUGAUUUUGACAGCUCACUGGCAGUGACUGUGAUCGUGAACAAGCAAAGGCAAUUAUCUUGAAUAAUAAUGAAUCCUCAUGAGAUGAGGAGAAAACGGAAAAAGUACUCGAAAUUUUCCGACUCGUUGCUAAAUUAGACUUUCGUCCCCGCGAAUUUCUUUGACUGGAAAAUUAGUUAAUAAGUGGACAAUCAAAUUUUGCUAUGAAAUCAUUUCCGAGAGAAAUUAGUUGACGAAUCCAUUCUUGCCUAGUCUCUCAUGACUAAUGUUCAUUUCGUAAAUAUAUUUGAUAUUACCUUUUCAUAUAAAAAUUAGUUAAUUAGCGGGCAACUAAAUUUCGUCGCAAGAUUCUUUUUGCACAGACUUAAUCUUGGAACAAAUUUGCGAAGAAUUUAGUCGCGAUGGAACAUUCGACCUCUAAUGACGGCCUGAAUGCAGAAUUAAU